RNAcentral lists this ribosomal RNA (395 nucleotides) under uncultured soil bacterium. RNAcentral's name for it is "bacterial SSU rRNA". It matches the Rfam family "Bacterial small subunit ribosomal RNA", at positions 26 to 422 of the family's 1533-position model. The record is from RNAcentral.
AGAUUGAACGCUGGCGGCAUGCUUUACACAUGCAAGUCGAACGGCAGCACGAGUGCUUGCACUCGGUGGCGAGUGGCGAACGGGUGAGUAAUGCAUCGGAACGUGUCCUGAAGUGGGGGAUAACGCAUCGAAAGAUGUGCUAAUACCGCAUAAUCUCUGAGGAGGAAAGUGGGGGAUCGAAAGACCUUAUGCUUUUGGAGCGGCCGAUGUCUGAUUAGCUAGUUGGUAGGGUAAUGGCCUACCAAGGCGACGAUCAGUAGUUGGUCUGAGAGGACGGCCAGCCACACUGGGGACUGAGACACGGCCCAGACUCCUACGGGAGCAGCAGUGGGGAAUUUGGACAAUGGGCGCAAGCCUGAUCCAGCAAUGCCGCGUGAGUGAAGAAGGCCUUCGGG